AACGCGAAGAACCUUACCAAGGUUUGACAUGCAGGGAAAAGCUCCAGAGAUGGGGUGUCCGUAAGGGUCCUGCACAGGUGGUGCAUGGCUGUCGUCAGCUCGUGUCGUGAGAUGUUGGGUUAAGUCCCGCAACGAGCGCAACCCUCGUCCUAUGUUGCCAGCGGGUAAUGCCGGGGACUCAUAGGAGACUGCCGGGGUCAACUCGGAGGAAGGUGGGGAUGACGUCAAGUCCUCAUGCCCCUUAUGUCUUGGGCUGCAAACAUGCUACAAUGGCCAGUACAAAGGGUUGCGAGACCGCAAGGUGGAGCGAAUCCCAAAAAGCUGGUCUCAGUUCGGAUUGGGGUCUGCAACUCGACCCCAUGAAGUCGGAGUCGCUAGUAAUCGCGAAUCAGCAACGUCGCGGUGAAUACGUUCCCGGGCCUUGUA
Molecule: ribosomal RNA, 426 nt
Filed under: uncultured Actinomycetes bacterium
Lineage: Bacteria; Bacillati; Actinomycetota; Actinomycetes
Description: bacterial SSU rRNA
Rfam family: Bacterial small subunit ribosomal RNA
Source: RNAcentral